This is a long non-coding RNA of Pezoporus occidentalis (night parrot), 484 nucleotides long. RefSeq lists it as uncharacterized. The transcript is spliced from 3 exons. NCBI's taxonomy places the organism in Eukaryota, Metazoa, Chordata, Aves, Psittaciformes, Psittacidae. The record is from RefSeq and is a predicted model, not a curated record.
ACAUACCUCCAAUCUGUGUGGAAUAAAAAGUAUGGAGGACUUGAGAAAUCAGCCAGCGAGCUGGAAGGAACAGAACUGCCCUUAGAGGAAAAAGAGAUGUCACAUACAUCCUGUGAGAGGAGCUGGGCUGGCCACAGCCUUUCUCCUACGGGUGGGCACACGGCAUCACUACCAACUUCAUCCUUGUGGAUUGCCCAUAUGCUGGCAGAGGUGGCAGGAGAAAAGGACCAAGUCAGUGCAUUUGCCAGCAGUCAAGGAUUGUCCUGCCAGGGAGAUACAAAGCCAAAAGGCCUUGGCCCAGAGACUUUUCUUAUCAAAUGAAGCUGGCCAGACUUUUCAGGCUGCAAAAAGAGCGAUCAAAGAGCAGUAGCCAUUUUCUGUGAGUUGUCACUCCCUGAUUAUAAUGAACAAAAAAAAAAAAGAAAUGUACCUGUAAGUCAUGCUGAUUUGGACAAUACAGAGAAGGCUUCGAUAAAGCUUGAGA